AGGGGUAUAGCCAGUGGGAACAUUCGACUGCAGAUCGAGAGGUCCCCGGUUCAAACCCGGGUGCCCCCU
RNAcentral lists this transfer RNA (69 nucleotides) under Trichonephila inaurata madagascariensis. It matches the Rfam family "tRNA". From Rfam's summary of the family: Transfer RNA (tRNA) molecules are approximately 80 nucleotides in length. Their secondary structure includes four short double-helical elements and three loops (D, anti-codon, and T loops). Lineage: Eukaryota; Metazoa; Arthropoda; Arachnida; Araneae; Nephilidae. The record is from Rfam by way of RNAcentral.